Molecule: long non-coding RNA, 1099 nt
Organism: Oncorhynchus tshawytscha (Chinook salmon)
Lineage: Eukaryota; Metazoa; Chordata; Actinopteri; Salmoniformes; Salmonidae
Source: Ensembl
GCUAAAGCAAUACAUUGUCCUUGGCUGUUUCUAAGGUGAUGAAACAUCGUGUGAUUUCUCUCUCGUGUCAGUCAUCCUGUCAUGAUUCUGAUUACAUUUUUUUUUCCUCUCACUGAUCUGGGGACAGUACAGUAACGUAAACUAGAGCCGUCUGGUUCCCUAUAAAAACACAGACACUAUGUUUCCCUAUAGGGACUGCUGAAGCAUUUCCCUUUCUUUGAGCUUGUACGGCCUACCACUUUGCGACUGAGCCAUUUUUGCUCCUAGAUGUUUCCACUUCACAAUAACAACAUCACUUACAGUUGACUGGGGCAGCUCUAGCAGGGGACAAACUAUCUUGUUGGAAAGCUAGCAUCCUAUGACGGAGCCACAGUGAAAGUCCCUGAGUUCUUUAGCAUAGCCAUUCUACUGCCAAUGUUUGUCUAUUGAGAUUGCAUGGUUGUGUCAGCGAUAGGUGUGGGUGAAAUAGCCGAAUCCACAAAUUUGAAGGGGUGUCCACAUACUUUUGGCAUAGUGUAUGAAUAUAAAAUGCAAAACUGUCCUAAUUUAGCAGUGUGACACAGACUACUAAUCUAGCUAAUAGAACAAAAAACUUUUGCAUACCUUAAGGGAGACCUAGUCAGUUGUACAAUCGAAUGCCUUCAACUGAAAUGUGUCUUCUGCAUUUAACCCAACACCUCUGAAUCAGAAGGGUCUAAUCACAGGUACUUAGGAGAAUCAUCAACUGAAGUAGCAUGGUUGAAGGCACUCCUGAGACACACAUACCAAUGUACCUGAAGAUGACUGAGAAGAGUCGUAUACAUCACAUCAGAAUGGAGGUACGUACAGUAUAGUACAGGAAGUAUGCAUCCCAAAUGUCAUCCUAUCCUCUAUAUAGUGGACCCUGGUCAACAUUAGUGCACUAUAAAGGGAAUCGGGUGCCAUUUGUGAUGCCGAUUGAUUCUAAUCCAAACACUACAACAGUGUUUUUAUAUCUUGGUCCUCCUGGGGACCCACUGGAGUGUACAUCUUUCUGCCAGCCCAGCAGUAAACUCACCUGACUCGGCCUACCUAUCAUGUCAGCAGUCACUCACCUGACUCGGCCUACCUAUCAUGUCAG